This 35913-nucleotide long non-coding RNA is filed under the name Gossypium barbadense (sea-island cotton). RNAcentral's name for it is "long non-coding RNA (GBAR_LNC017420)". Lineage: Eukaryota; Viridiplantae; Streptophyta; Magnoliopsida; Malvales; Malvaceae. The record is from RNAcentral.
GGGUGAUUAAUCCGAAUCGGGGUGAGGACAGGUGUUGUGAUGGACAAAGCGUAAGACAAGGUGGUUCUCGACAGAAGCAAGAAAGCUCUGACAAAAGACAGCUAGGUAUUCCUUUUGCAGACAAAUUAAGAAGACAAAAGAUAGAAAAUAUAGGGUGGUGGUCGAAGAUAAAUGAUUAUAACAGCACUGAUAUGAUCUGCUUCGCCUUCGUCCACCACCUCAUCUUUAUGUUUAUAUCUUGGUCGUGACUCACGUUGGCCUUCGUCUGCAAGUGCUGUCGGUCCUACUAUUGUGCUUGUGUUUCCUAGCUUUGAUUUCUAUGUAUUAGGGUCUGGGGUGAAGUUAGAAAAAUAUUUUUAAGAAUUGAAGUUAAAUUAUAUAUUUUUAUAAGAGUUAAAAUGUAAUUUCAUAAUUAUAUUAGUUUAUGUUUUUAUAGUUUUUAGAGGUCUUAAAUUAAAAUCUUAUCAUUUUUUUUUGGAUAAAUUGUGAUUUUACAAUGUUUAACUUAUAAUUUUAUAGAUUUUAGAAAGGCCCAAAUAACAAUUUUUCAUUUUAGUGGUCUAAAAAGUAAUUUUCAUUUUAAGGAGGCCACUCCCCUUGCUCCAGUCACCGCCUUUACGACGAGAUUAAUUAUAGUGAGAUUGAAAAUAGAUGUGAUAGUGAGAUUAACUAUUAUGGUGAUGAGAAUAAAAUCACUGGUGAGACGUGUCUUAGGAUUUAAACAUAUAGAUUGUAGAUUUAUAGUAAGAGAGCAAAAUGACCAUUAUGAACAUUAAACUAAAAUUAAACUAAAUUAGUUUGCACCCUUCCGUAUCUUUUUUAUAAUUAAUAUUUUAACGAUAAAAACAUUAUAUUUCAUAUUUCAUUUAUAUAAAUUAUGCAUGUCAAAUUUGACGUAAAUUAAAAAUUUCUAACUAUUUGUUUUAUGUAAAAAUACUUUUAACUGUUUAAUAAAUGUUAAUAUAUACAAUAUUUUAGAUCGAUAAGAUAGAAAUAUCAAAUCAAUUUGAAAAUUUGCAUGCAUGAAUCAUACAAUAAUUUUGAUAAAUUCAAUGGUUGGAUUGUUAAAUUAAUAAUCAUAUAAAAAUAUAUGGAAGGAUGUAAAAUUACUUUAGUUUCACACUAGUGUAAGCGGAUCUCUCCCAUUUUAAUAUAUAAAGUUAAUUAUAUAAUUUAAAAUUAUGUAAUUAAUAUUAUUUAUAAAUAUAAGUAUAAAUAUAUUUCUUUAUAUGCCUAACUAAUGUAAAGAAAAUCCACAAAGAAGCUAUUUGUUGAGGGGAGGUCGGACUCUCUUUUGGGAGAAGUCUUCUAAGUGUCAUCUAUUUGGGAGUUGAUGGACCCCUCAAUAAGAGGUAUUUUUCUCGUGUUGGGGUUUCUUCCCUGGCCUUCACAAAGAGCAGCUAUACGAUUCUCAAAAGGGGGCUCGAUUGGUGGAGAUAGGUACAAUGGCUCUUUGCGAAGGUUGAGGGAAAAACCUUGACACGAUGACAAUACAUUUUGUUGAGGAUUCUGUUGACUCUCAAGCGGGCAAUACUUCGAAGACUUCUCCUAAGAGAAAAUCUAACCUCCCCUCAACACUAUUCACAUACACUUAUCCCAAACCAACAACCAAAUAUCACUACAACCACAAUCAAUCAUACAAAAAUGCCAAAUAAUCCCAAAUAAAAGAAGGAAGAAAGUCUCCUAUGUUAGCAUCCUCAAAUAGGACUUAUAGAAUUAAAAAAAAAAGAAUGAAAAUAUAUAAUAAAAAAAAUGAGACAUAAACGUACUGGAUUCAGUUAGGAGUUAGUCGGAGAGUUUUGGGCGUGGAGGCUCAAACAAAAGGUCGAGGAGAAAGUCUUAUUAAGAAGAUGAACAUAUUGGACUCAAGUGACCAUCCGAUGAUGGCAAACAAAGAUCAAAUAGCUUCCUUGUUAGAUUUUUAAGUUUGAAUCAACGAAGUUUCAGGCCAUUUUAAGGAAAAUUAAAUCAUAAAGUUGAAAGAGGAAGGAUAGAGCUAUACUUUUAUGUGUUUCUUUGGUAAAGGAGGAGGUUGGACAAUGGUGAGAUUGCUGGAAUACAAUAGUGAAAGAGGUUCCUAAAACUCUAAAACUUUUGAAUAGUUUAGUGACCAACUUAUAACUCUUCUGAAAUUAAGUGACCAAAGUGUAAACUUAUUAAUAUUUAAGUGACCUUGGGUGUAGUUUACCCCAUGAUGAAUAGUGAGUUAACGAUCAUGUCAGACAAACAUUAGCAACCUAAUGGUUCAAUGACUUAAAUGAUAGAUUUUGAAUAGUUAAAUGACUAAUUUAUAACUUUUUAAAUUACUAAUAGCCGAGUAAACUUGAAUGUAAUUUACCCUCUCUUGUUUGACUUAAAAAAUCAAAUACAAGAUGGACUUUUCCAUAAUAGGCCGACACCAACAAUGUGGAAAUAGCACGGUCCAUACCUAUAAUUGUUGAUAUCGAAGGAAGAAGACUUCAAUGACUAAAUGACAUGAAUAUAAUGUAGAAAAAGUUAUGGAAGAAAGAGUCCACGAACCCCCUUCUUUUUUGCCUCUAGAUUUGUAAGUUUGUGAAGAAAAACUAGUGAUAGUCUUUUUGUCCCUAUAUCUAGUAAACUACCCAUAAAAAUUAUCUCUUGAGUAGAAAGGGAUGACUUGGGAAAAAUUAAACAAAAUUUAUAAUUUUUUGGGAUAAAUUUUAAAAUUAUAUAAACAUUUAUUUAACGUGUAAUUUAAUACGUAAAUUUUAAUUUUAUGUAAUUAUAUAUACGAUCCCUUGUAAAAUGAGAAUUCAGAUGAAUUUAUGAAUUUACGUAUCAAAUUCAUUUUGGGGCUGGAAGCGCCCUUGUAAAUUUUACUUUUGCUCUUAAAAAAUGAUAAAAUUUUAAUUAAUCUUUUAAAAAUUAAAAAAAAGAUAUAAUUUAUUAAAAUGAUAAGAUUUCAUUUUAACUCUCCUAAAGAAUAUGUAAUUCAAUUAUGACUUUUUUAAACAAUAAAUUUUUGACUUCAUCCUUAUUCGAACUUCAAAAAUUACUCGAGAAAAAAAGUUUUGCUGAAUAAGGCAACAAACCAAAGGGAAACGAGAUUCACGAGGGGAUGAAGACGAAAUACAAAACCAAAGGGAUAACCAAAGGAGAAAAGUUGUAUAAAAUAUAUGUGGUAGCGGGGAAGAGAUGCCAAGGGGUUAAUUUAUAUUUUGUUAUUCAAUAUAUAUAUUUAAUUCUUUCACUAUUUAUUGCUAUACAAAUAUUAGAUUUAUUUAAAAAUUAUGCUAUUUAUUUGUCGGAUUAAUCGUAUUUCUGGCCAGAGCAUUGAACCUAUUUGAAGUGGUUUAUAUUGUCCUAAAAAAUUCCAUGUACAAACAAUAAUUAAUUUUACUUCCCCACCUAACUACUCUUGGCUGGGGUAGGUUCUGGCAGAGAAGUUAUAGACACAUUUUCAUACUUUGGGUUUGGAAUACUUUACUUAAUUUCCUUUGCUGUAUUGAGUUUUGGCAAUAUUUAUCAUGCACUUUGAGACCUAAAACUCUUGAAUAAUCUUUUUCAUUUUUCGGUUAUGUAUAGAAAGAUAGAAAUAAAAUGACCAUAAUUUUGGAUAUUCACUUCAUUUUGCUUGAUACAGGUUCUGUUUUUCUAGUAUACAAUAUCUGAGCUUAGUUCAAAUUUAAAUAAAAUAAUUUAAUAUUUUGAAUUAAACCAAACUUAAACAAACCUAUUGAUACUAAAUAUAAAUCUAACAUAAACCUAGCGGCCCAUGAGUGCUUUACAUACUAAUAAAAUCAACUAAUAUUUUAUAAAUACUAUUAAAUAUAUAUUAUCAGGUAAUAUAAAUGUUGAUCAAAUAACAAAAAAAUUCAUGUAUAUUCUUUACAUAAAGUUAGAAUCUUUUGCGCACUGUCUUAAAUCUAUUGACAUCGGUAUUAUUGUUAGUGCAGGAGAAUAUGUGUUCGAGUACACUGAGACAUAUUAUCCUCUUAUUUAAAGGUUGAGAAGAAAUUAUAAAUAAUUCUAAUUACUAUUUCAAAUUUUAUUAUAAUGGAUGAAUGGUUGUCUUAGAUCACAAGCUAAAUUUUGGGUUUUAUUUAAUAUUGGGCUAUUUGGUUUAUAAGACUCUUCGACCUCUUUUUUUUUUUUUUUUAAGAAUACAAACAAAUUGAGCUUAUUUUUUUUAUUUAUUUUUAAGUAUAUUUAUAUAAUAUUAAAUAUAUAAAUAUGUUUUAUUAUUUUGUUAUUAAAUAUUACAAAAAUUUACAAAUAAAUCAACAAAUUACAAAAAAACCCUAAGUUUUACAGAUUUUACGGUUUGAUCCUUAUGUUCUGAAAUAUUAACUGUUUAAGUGAUGAAUGAAUAUUUGUUACACGUUUUAAGCUUUUAUUUAUUAAAAUUUGCUUUAUUUCUAUGGAUUUUUAAUUAAAUUUGAGGACAAUGCAUAAUAUUAAAUUUAGCUCUUAACAUUUACAUAUUUUAUCAAUUUGGCUUUUGUUAUUUUUUUAGACAAAUUUUGGCCUUCAACCUUUUAGAAAAGAGUUAAAAUGAUGUUUUUGUUAUUAAAUGAUGUUUUUUUAGAAAAAUCCUCAAUAAUCUCUAAUUUCUAGGGAUUAUUUACCAAAAAAACUCAACAAUCCCUCCCUUAAACUGAAAGUACAAUGAACUUUCAGUUUAAUAAAUACUUACUACUCAAUGUCAAAGACCAAGUAUUUUCCUGAACUUGACAAAUGAUGCCAACUUGAGAGGCUUAGUAAAUACAUCAACAACUUAAUUUUCACUUCUGUAAUACUUUAGCUUAAUUGCUCUUUCAUUGCUGAAAUAUGACAGAAAGUAAUAUUUUACAUCAAUAUUCUUGCUUCUUCCAUGCAACACAAGAUUUUUUGACAACUUGAUGGCUGAGUUGUUAUCACAAAAAAAUAUAGCGGCUCUUUUUGGCUUGAAUUGUAGUUGUUCAAGGAUUCUCCUAAGCCAAAUAGCUUGACAAGCACAAGCUGUAGUGUCAAAAAAUAUGACAAUGGAUUGUUUCUUAGAUGAUCACGAAAUAGCUCCUGUUUUAAGCAUAAAAACAUAACCUAAAAUGCUCAUUCUAUCAUCUUGAUCUCUUGCAUAAUCACUACCAGUGAAGCCAAUCAUGUUUGUCACCCUUUUUGUAGAAAAUCCAAAAUCUUUGGUUCUUUAUAAGUAACGAAGGAUUCUCUUAGCAGCUAAUAAAUGUUUUUCAAUCGGGCUCUUCAUGUACCUGCUAAUAAGACUCAUAGAAUACUAAUAGAGUUAGAUACAUCAAACUACCUACAAUUUUCUUGUAAACUAUGCUAUCCACAUUCUUUAAUAAGUUUUAAACCAAACUCAGUUGGAGUGUUGGAAGAGUUACAAUUCUUCAUCUUGAAUUUGUCCAAAAUCUCUCUCACAUAAUUUUUCUCUUCCUUCAAGUAUUCAUGUAAGAAUGUCGACUUGAUAUCUAACUGGAAGAUUGACCAAGAGUUCUGCGCUACUAAAGCAAUCACCAAUCUGAUAGUGUUAUGUCUUGCAACUAGGGUAAAAAAUUUUGUGUAGUCUACACCAUACUCUUGUUUGUACCCCUUAGCCGCUAAUUGCGUAUUGCACUUCUCAACCUCUUUGUUUUCCUUCAACUUCGUCUUGUAGAUCCACUUGACACCAAUGGUUUUGUGCCCCUCAAGAAGAUCAGUCAUCUCCUAAGUAUCAUUCCUUUUAAUGGCUUUGAUUUUAGCAUCCAUUGCCUCUUUCCAUUUUGCCUCAUUGGCAACAUUUUCAAAACUUGUUGGGCCACAAUCUGUAAAUAAUGCAAAUUGAGCAAUUGCAUCAUCAUUUUCUCUAAUUUUGGUUACGUCAUAAUCUUACAUCCAUGCUGGCCUUCUUCGAACAUGACGAAGUGCUUCAGCUAUUGUACUAGUUUCUUCUUUAUGUGUAAACAAUACUUUAGUGGCUAAUAGAGAAGUAUUCUUGAGCAUUUCUUCAGCUUUAUUAUCAUAAAGAACUGUAUAGGUUGUGCUUCAUCCCAAUCCCAAGUUUUCUCUUCAUGAAACAUAACUCUCGGCUAAUCAUGACCUUCUUUCUCACAGGAUUAAACAAUUUGUAUGCCUUCAAUUUGAUGUUUCACUAAUACCAAAAAAGACACAUCAACAAGCUUCUUCCAUUUCUCCUUUGAGACAUGUGCUUAGGUAAUGCGCCUAAAAAUUCUGAAGUGAUCUAUCACCGGUCUCCUUCCACUUUAAGCCUUCUCCGGAGUCACAUCUUGAAGAGAAUUAGUAGGGCUCCUAUUCAAGAUGUGGAUGUUCCAAUUUAUAGCUUUUGACCAAAACACCUUUGGAAUUCUCCCUCUUACUAGUAGGCUUCGAACCAUGUUGAGAAUGGUUUAAUUUUUCCUCUCUGAUACAUUAUUUUUUUGUUGUGUAUAAGUAGUUGUGAGCUCUCUUUGGAUGCUGUGAACAUCACAAGUCUUCAAACGCCUUAGAGGAAUAUUCACCACCAGGACUAGUUCGAAGAGGUUGAAUGGUUCUUCCUUUCUCAUUUCCUACACUAGCUUUAAAGCUUUUAAAUUUGAUUUUUCUUGUAAAGGUAAACCCAUGUCUUACAAGUAUAAUAAUCAAUAAAGGUAAUAAAUUUCCAUUAUAAAUUGGAUUUAUUGGCCCACAAAUGUCUGAAUGCACCAACUCCAAUACCUCUUUUACUUUCCAUAACUUACUUUUAGGAAAUUGAGAUCGAUGUGGUUUGCUAGCAACAAAUUCUUCACAAACUAGCAAAGGAAAGAUAAUUGGAGGAAGACCAGUCACCAUAUUUUUAUUUUUAAGUAUCUUCAAACCACCAAAGUUUAAAUGACCAUAGCAAAAAUACCACAACCAAGAAGGAUAUUUAACUUCUACUAUUGUUGACACCAAUUUUUUAGAUGAAAACGGGGUCAACUUGGGUUUUGACGAAAACGAAAAAAACGGGAGUCACCACCAAUCCUUUUUGAUAAGGUGUGAUUGGAUCACCUUGAAAAGUGGUUGUUUUUAAUAAACGAUUUAAUUUUAUGAAAACAACGAGUUUGGUCCGCAAAAUUCAGAAGAAAAAAAUUCGGGUUCGGGAGUCGGUUACGUACGAGGAAGGAUUAGCACCCUCAUAACGCCCAAAAUUGGUACCUAGUUGAUUAGCUAAUGUCUUAAUGUCGAAAAUUGAAAACUUUGAAGAAUUUUAAAAAACGAUCCUUGUAUGUUGAGAUUUUUUGGGAAAAAAGGGCAUAUUUCACGUUGAUCGAGAAAAAGAAUCAUAUCUAGUGAGUUAGGACACAAUGUCUCGAAUUCCCGAUACGCGAAUAAAAAUGCUUAUUUAAAAGACAUUUUAGCUAUCUCGAAUUUAAAAGGGAGAUCACGACCAGUAAGUUAGGACGUGAUUUUUAAAACUUGAGUUUGAAAAGAUUCAUGUAAUAAAGUUUAAAAGGAUAUUCAAACGUUUAAAUCAAAAGAAGAAAUCACGACCCAAUACGUUAGGGCACAAUUUCUCAAAAUAUUAAACAUUAAAUAUUGCGUUUAUUGCGAAAAAUCCUCGUCUCGAGAAAAUAACGUGUCACGUCCAAUGCGUUAAGACACAAUGUAUUGAAUUCUCGAUAAUGAGCUUUUUAGUUAUAUUUUUUUUAUAAAAAGAGUAAUCUCGAUUAUUUAGAUUCAACAAAUAAAAUCGGAACCCAAUACGUUAGGGCUUGAUUCUCUCGAAGAUUCCAAAUACCGAGUGGUACUUAUAUUUUUAAAAUUUUCGCUUUUUACGUAUUCGAGUAAAAAUUAUAUAUGAUAGAAUAACUAUUAUGAUAUGCAAGUAAAAAUAAUACGAGCAGUAGCAAAUAAAAGAUAAAUAAAAGACAAACUAAUUAUACAAGGUAAUAAGCAGAUAAGCUUUUCAAAUAAAAUGAGCAUAAGAUAGAAAGCAAAUGUCGCACGAAACAAUGAAAUUAUAGAAGAAAUAAAAAGGAAUGUAUAUAAAAAAUGUAUAUGUAUGUAUUUGAAAUUAUACAAAAUGUGUAAGUGUAUAUACAUAUGUGUAUAAAAUUACGGAAAUAUGAAAAGUAUAUACAUGUAUACAUAUUUUAAAAUUAUUAUACAUGAAAAUAUAUGUAAGUAUGUAUUAAAAUAUGUAUAUAUGUAGGUAUAUAAAAAUUAUGAAGUAUAUAAAAAGAUAAAAGUAUGUAUAUAUAUACACAUUUAAAAAAAACUUAAAAAUAUGUACAUGUGUGUAUUUUUAAAAAAGAGUAUUGAUGUGUAUAUAUAAAAUAUAUAAAAAAAACAUAUGUAUGAAUAUAUACAUAAUUGUGAAUAUAAAAAGGGUACACGGUUAUAUACAUAUAGAUAUAGACAUGCGUAUGGAUAUUAAAAUAUAUAUAUAUGAGUAUAUGAGUAUAGAUAGAUUAUGAAAAUCUGCCCAUGCAAGUAUAUAUACAUAUAUAUAUAUUAUAAGAGCGCAUGUAUGUAUGUAUAUUUAUAUAUAAAAAAUGUAUGUAUAGACAAAUUAUAAAGUACAUAAAAAAAAAUAUAUAUAACAAAAUCUAAAAAUGGUAUAAAUGGAUAAAUAAAAUGCACUAAUAAUAAUAAUAAUAAUAAUAAUAAUAAUAAUAAUAUGAUGCAAUAAUAUAACAAUGAAUAGAUAAGUAUGUAAAUAAAAUACAAAAAUAACACAAAUAGACUAAUUAGGAAUAAAAAUAAAAUUAAAGGGUCGAAAUUGUAAUAAAAUAAAUACGGAGGGAUGAAAAUGGAAAAUAGCAUGAAAGGGCAGGGGCCAAAUGAGUGAAUAUACCAGACCUUGGACACGUGUCCACUUUUUAGGGCGCUGAGGGGUCAGGGAUCCGAUUGAAAUCCAAACAAAGUUGCAGGGCCGAAUUAAAAAGUGAAAAUAAACAAAGUUGCAGGGCCAGGAUUGCAAAUAACCUAUUCCAUGAAAACGCGCGGGUCAUGGGGCUAAACGGCGCCGCUUUGUGCAGGCUAUAAAAGCCAAAAAUUUGUCAAAACUUCUCAAUUUUCCUUUUUUCCCCAAAAAAACAAAAAAAGGCUCUCAAACCCCCCAUUUUCUGGUCUCGGGUUUGGCCAAGGGCCACCGUAUCGGCCGUCGGAUCGCCGGCGUCGGCGACGCCGUACACAGUGGCCGGCGAGUAUAGAAAGGCUUGCCCCUAUAGAUCCCGACCUUCUAAACUCGGAUCUGGCCUCAAAAUAACCAAAAACGAUGGGGAAAAGGUCGUUAGGCUUCCCUACAGUCGGUUUCGUCACCGGAGGAGUCUCCGACGAGGAGGAAACCAGUGACCCGCGGUGAGUUUCUCCUUUUUAUUUAUUUUUUAUUUUCGUUUUUAGAAAUCAAAAUAGAAAAUAAAAUAACCAAAAAAAAGAUUGUAAUCGAAAAAACUAGGAAAUCACCUUGAAGCUUGAUUUUUUUUAUUAUUCUGUUGAUAUUUGCUUUUUUGUUACAAAAAUCGGGAAAAUAAAAAAGAAAAAGCCCCCUCAAAGUUACAUGUUCUUCGGCUUUUAAAGUCAAUUUUUGUUACUGUUCCUGUCUUGUUUGUUUCUCUUCUUUGCAAGUGACGGUGCAAGUGGCCGAUGGUGGCAAGCGGUGGCAGUGUCAGAGGGCAGGUAGCUACGGCGCUAGGGUUUCAGAAAAGCUGAAACCCUAGUUUGACUUUGGGUUUGCUGGGCUAGGACAUUGGGCCUGUAAUUGGCUGUUGGGGUUUGGGUCAUUAGGUCAGUGAGCUGGUGGGCAAAAUUGGGCUGGUACAACUAUUAAACAAGAUUGAACAACCUCAAUCUUCAAUGGAAACAACCUAUUCUGACUUAUUUCCAUAAUAGCAACAACUGUUCUAGAUGGAUUAGAAAUCUCACAAGCACCAUUCGUGAAAGUGACAACAUACCCUUUUUCCAACAGUGGCAUCAAAGCCAAGUUUAUUCUUGUUAGCUUAGAAAACUUUUCACCUAUGGCCUCGAAAAGUAGUUUUGUUCAAGUAGUUAUUCCUUAUUUUGAUGAUCAUUAUGACCAUUGGAGUACGCUAAUGGAGAAUUUCCUAUGGUCAAAAAAGUAUUGGCCAAUGGUUGAGGCAGGUAUCGAAGAGCCUGCAGAAGGAGAAACUUUGACUAAUGCCUGGAAAGUAAAGUUCGAAGCGAGAAUGCUGAAAGAUUUGAAGGUGAAAAAUCAUCUCUUUCAAGCUAUUGAUUGUCCCAUCUUGAAAACUGUUCUUUGCAAAAAAACUUUCAAGGAUAUAUGAGAUUCCAUGAAGAAAAAGUAUCGAGGCACUGCCAGAGUGAAGUAAUAACAUCUUCAAGCCUUGAGGAGGGACUUCGAGACUCUAUAGAUAAAUGAAUGGGAAUCUAUCACUAGAAAUUGUGUUAGAACCAUGGAGAUUUGUAAUAGGAUGUAGUUCUAUGAUGAGAAGAUGGAGGGUGCCACCAUAGUGGAGAAGAUUUUGCGCUCCAUGAUGCUGAAGUUUGACAUGUCGUUUGCAUCAUUGAAGAGUCAAAAUACAUGAUGAAUUGUCUCUUGAUGAGUUGUAAAACUCUUUAUUUGUACAUGAGCAAAAGAUGAAUUUUACUUCAGCCUUCAAGGAACAAACUUUGAAGGCUUUUACUUUUUUUUUCAAUUUUAGAGGAAUAGGUAAAGGUAGAGGUAUAUAUUGGGAAAUGUGCCCAUAUUUUAGUAAACAUGUAACUACUUUUUAUUUAUUUAAACAGUGAAUUAAUAAAUAAAAUUAAUUUCACAUUUCGCUAUUAUGUCUUUUGUAUUUUCGGUCUUUUAUAUUUACAAUACAUAGCAAAAUUGUGACAAGCAAAUAUUAGCUCAUUGAUUGUCUAAAGUUCAAACUGAAGAUAAGUGACAUUGUAAAGAAUAUUUACAUUGUGAGAAAGACUACUUAUUUUAGUAGAUAAUCUAAAUUAGUUCGUAAUCUCGUAAAAGAAUCAAAGUGAGCAUUUGAUUCACAUACUGAGAAGGAUUAUUAUGUCUUCUACAAUUCCAAUUGGGGAGAUUGCUAGUCUUGGCUAUUGGAGCAGUUGACUCCAUUAGUAGAGAAAUAGAUGUAUUCAUUGGUAGAAUGAUACAUUGGACUGGACCCAAAAUGAAUUAAUUUUGAAUCUAUUUGUGAAUUAAUUCACUUGUGACGUUCGUGGUGUGGUUUACCCAAAUCUUAAGUUAGUCACUGACCAUGCGUAUCGAACCCAUGUGCUUUGAUACAAGUGGAGGCUUAUGCUCUAAGGAUGAUCGAGCCCACAGUCGGUAUGUUGGGUACAUAACUUGUGUAUGACAUGACUUUACUAGCAACAAUGUAAUUCAUAGCUCAAUUAAAGAGUUAAUGAUAUCCUCUCAUUGGUAUUGUAUGGAUUGAUAAAUAUAAAACGUGGCCACGGGGUGCUUAUUCUCGAAAGAGUAAUUUAUUACAGUCAUUUGUUGACAGUGGUCGUAUUAAUCAUUAAGAAGACACAAUGGUGAUAAUGAGAUAAAAUAAGAUUGUAUUAAGUGAACGACUUUAACUCAAAGGAAUCAAUGAUAUCAUAUGAGGGUAACACACAUCAUGAGGUCAUUGGACAAAGCAGUUGGAUGAAUUGCUUUCUUAAAGAGUAUACAAUAAGGAGUUUUCAAUUAUGGCACUUCUUAUGGACUGACUCUUGAUUAAGUAAUUGCGAAUUAUCGUAACGAUGCUUUUGGACAUAAUUACAAUCACUAGAGCCUAAUUGUAUAUGUUCAAUUGGUCCAUCCGUUAGCUCAACAAAAGCUUGAUCAUUCUGCAUUUGAAUCAGAAGAAAAUUCUACGACUUUAGAAAUGAUUUAAUUGAGUCAAUUUAUUCGAUAUGGAAUUAAAUUAGGUGGUCGUGAGAAUUGUUCAACUAGAGAAUUUGAUUAAAAAUUUUUCUUAAAAAAUUAAUUUGGAAAAUCUAAGUGAUUUUUGGGAAAAUUAAUUUUGAUCAAGUAAAAUUAAAUUAAUCAAAUCAAUUAAAAUUAAUAUGAUAUUUUUGGAAAUUAAUUUUCAAGUAAGACAAUUGGCCCAAUAGGUAAUUGAACUUAAAAAUUGGACCUGAGAUCGUGAGCGUGAGAGCCCAAAACCAAGACCAAGACCAUGACCCAAAAACUUGUCGAACUGGGCCCGGUAUGUGAAACCGGGCCGACGGUCCAAUUGGUGACUAGAUUGAAUUGGUCGGGUUGACAUUGACCCGGACCAAACCAGCUUAGGGUGCCGUAAGGGUGUCCCACCUACGUCACCGGACAUGUCGGUGUGGGUGGCUGCAACGGCGGCGUCCUGGUGACUGGCGGCAGUUGGUCAUCGAUGAUUGAGUUGUGGAAGGGUUACUCUCCUAUUGGGACUCUACCAGAGAAUUUGAUUUCAAAUUAACUACUUCAAAAAUAAUAUUAUUUUAAUAGUUUAACAUUAAAUUCAAUUUAAUGUUUAUCUUGUAGAUAAAUAUUUUAUUAUUUUAAUAAGAUUUAAUAUUAAAUUUAAUCUAAUAUUUAUCUUGAUAAAUAUUAGAUUAUAUUAAUUGAAUAUUAAAGUGAUUUAGUUUAAUCAUAGUUGAACUCUCUAAACUCUCCUUAUAUAAAGAGAGCAUUGAGUCAUUAUUUACACACACUUGAGUUCAAGAGAAAGUUGUAGAGAGAAAAUUUUCUGAAGAGAUUAUUCUAAAAAAUUUCUAGAGAUAUUUUUUUGAUUUAUAACUUGACCCAAAAGUUUAGAGAGAUUGCAAAAUUACCCCACUGGUAAUUUUUAUGAAAAAUUUUCUAAUUCGAAGUGAGCUCACAUUUGGCAGACAUGAGCUUGAGGAUUGUGGAGAAGGCUACUCGGUCGAAGCGCUAAUCCUAGACGAAUCAAAAAGAUAUAAUUUGGAUUAAGUGUUUAUUAUUUUAGAUAUCACAACCUAAAUUUAUUUUCCUCUGUAUUUUCUAAAUCUUUUUUCCAACAAUAUAGGGAGAAGUUUGAGCUAAUAGAAAAAGUGGCAACAGAAAUGGUAGCAAGAAUUACAAAAUCAAUGAUGACCAAAGUAAGGAUAAAUGACGAGAUUUUGAUAAAUCUAAAAUAAAAUGCUUCAUAAGGUAAAAAUUUGGUCAUUGUCAUUUUGAAUGUUAUUUUAGGCUACUAAAUGAUAAGGAUGAACAAGCGACAUUCACUGGACCAGGAGCGCCCCCUCUAGUAAAAGCUUCCACUGCCGGUUAACCAAUCACAUUGAAAAGGAAGCUGAGACAAAUGUAUAAUAUGUGGAUAUAGGUUGUAGUAUUUUUUUCGUAUUUAAAUGAUAAUUUUCGUUGUAGAAUCACCUCUGGUGAUUAUUGUACUGUCGAUUUCAUAAUUAAAAUUUUACAUGAAAUUUAAUGUUUUCUAAAAACCUUUGUUUUUGAAGACUUUUGUUACUAUACCCCGCUCCAUAUAAGAUCCAUCACCGUCAAAUGACAAAAAGUAAUUCAAUGCACUUUAAUUGUGCCAGCGGCUCCAAGCCCAUUGAUUUCACUAUAAAUUCCAUGCUUUUAGGUUAACCAUCUUCACACAAUCAAAUCAAGCUAGUUCGCAAUGGCUUCCACUACCAAUUCCCCAUCAACCCUCCUCACCCUUCCUAAUUUCUCCAUUCAAACUUCAACAUUCCUUCCCAAAACAUCUCAAGGUUCCAUAUUUAAGAAGAAAAAGCCUUUCAACUUUAACUCCAAAAGAGUAGUGUCAUGCAAAGCCAGCAAUGGGAAACAAAACGAUGCAAAUCACACUUCUUUUCUCAAUAGGUUCGAUAGAAGGGACAUCUUCCUUGGCCUUGGAGGAAGUCUCUACGGUGCAACCAGCCUUGUUAGAGACCCAUUUGCAUUGGCAGUCGUCCCAAUCGAGCCUGACCUGUCCAGCUGUGGGGAAUCAACCGUAGAUGCCGGUACAACCUGCAUGAAUGUCCCUUGCUGCCCACCAAAGUUAAAAGAUUCAAAGAUCAUAGACUUCGAACCACCUUUAGGUUGCAAGAUCCAUUAUCGGCCGGCAGCACAUUUAGUUGAUCGUGAUUACCUGUAUAAAUUUGAAUCGGCAAUGGAGAGAAUGAAAGCUCUCCCUGUGGAUGAUCCACGUAAUUUCAUGCAACAAGCCAAUAUUCAUUGUGCCUAUUGCAAUGGGGCUUAUAGUCAAGUGGGGUUCCCCGAUCAAAAACUUGAAGUUCACUACUCGUGGCUUUUUUUCCCAUUCCAUAGGAUGUAUCUGUAUUUCUUUGAGAGGAUAUUGGGCAAGUUGAUUGGUGAUCCAGAUUUCACAAUGCCAUUUUGGAACUGGGAUUCUCCUGUUGUUCCAAUAGGGUCGGAAGCGUGUAAAUUAUUGUACUAAAAAAUCACACAAAGUUCAAUUCCCAGGGAAGAGAGGUGGAUCACAUGGAUCUCUUAAAUACCAAGUCUUUCCUUAGACAGAAUAUCCCUUCUAUAGUAAUUUAAUAGCACAAUUAAAUACUACUAUUAUACCCUCAAAUAUUGAAAGAAAAAUAGGACAAGAAAGAACACAAGAGAUUUAACGAGGUUCGGUAAAUUAUACCUACGUCCUCGGGCACUAACACCAGAUGAUAACUUUACUAUCUCCAAAGUAUUACAAACAAAUAGAAUUCCUUAAGAAUUCUCAAAUGGGAGAAGAGAGAAAACUAAGAGAGAAAGAUUGGUUGGGAUGAAUUGAAAUGAGAAAUGAGAAGGCCUAUUUAUAGUUGAGGUUUAAGGAUCAAACAAUAAAUAGCCCAUUAUCUCAAGGACCAAAAAAAAAUUAUCCCAUGCCACUUUUUCAAAGUCAACUUUAGGGUGCUAAACUUGCACCACUUGGAUUGUUUUCCAUUAAAAUUGUCUGCCAUUAAUCAUAAUGUUAACAAUCUCCACCUUGAAGAUUUGAUUAGGAUAAUCACAUCUUCACACACUUCCUUCAACUCCCCAAAUUUGAUAAAGCUAUCUUUUGUAGUGCCUCCAAAUGCACUCUCGAGCGCAAUACACCUGAAGGUGCUCAAAUUCUCAGGAUGUUAAUCAAGUUCAAACAAUGAUUAAACUUGAUUGUUGUUACCACAUUGGUCAUCAUAUCUGCGGGAUUAUCUGCUGUUGGAAUCUUCUGAAGUAGAAUUUUUCCUUUUUCAAAGACUUCCCGCACAAAGUGAUAUCUUACGUCGAUAUGUUUGGUUCUUGAAUGAUAGACUUGAUUUUUCGCUAAAUGAAUAGCGCUCUGACUGUCACAAUAUAAACUUAUGUGACUUUGAACAACUCCUAAGUCUUUCAACAAUCCAUUAAGCCAAAUAGCCUCCUUAACAGCUUCUGUAACUGCCAUAUAUUCUGCCUCUGUAGUAGACACAGCUACUGUAGACUGUAAGGUAGAUUUCCAACUCACUGGGGCUUUCGCAAGAGUAAACAGAUACCCCGUAGUUGAACGACGUUUAUCUAAAUCACCAGCAAAGUCGGAAUCAACAUAUCCAACUACAAACUGACCAAGUGCUUCAUCCUGUUCAAAAAUUAAACCAACAUCUACGGUUUUUCGAAGAUACCGUAGAAUCCAUUUCACAGCUUGCCAAUGUCCUUUUCCAGGAUCAUGCAUAUACCUGCUCACAACUCCAACAGCUUGUGAAAUGUCAGGCCUCGUACACACCAUCGCAUACAUCAAACUCCCAACUGCAUUAGCAUAUGGGACUUUCACCAUAUAUUCUCUUUCAUCUUUAGUCUUCGGAGAUAAUUGAGCACUAAGUUUCAAAUGAGAAGCAAGUGGGGUACUUACAUGUUUUGUGUUUUCAUUUACACCAAAACAUUGUAAUACCUUUUUCAGAUAUUGCUUCUGAUUUAAACAGAACUUGCCUCUCGGUCUAUCUCUACUUAUCUCCAUGCCGAGAAUCUUCUUAGCCUCACCUAGAUCUUUCAUCUCGAACUCUUGAUUCAACUGAGCCUUCAGCUUAUCUAUCUCAUUUUGGCUCUUCGAAACGAUUAACAUAUCAUCAACAUACAAGAGUAGAUAAAUGAAAGAUCCGUCAUGCAGCUUCUGCAAAUAUACACAAUUGUCAUAUUUGCUUCUUGUGUACUUCUGCCUUCUCAUAAAGCUAUCAAAUCGCUUGUACCACUGCCUCGGGGAUUGCUUCAAUCCAUAUAGCGAUUUGUUAAGCUUACAAACCCAAUUUCUACCACCAGCAUCUGUGUAUCCUUCGGGCUGAGUCAUAUAGAUCUCCUCUUCUAACUCACCAUGCAAGAAAGCCGUCUUAACAUCAAGUUGAGCUAGCUCCAAAUUCAACUGUGCUACCAAGGCCAACAAAAUUCUAAUGGAGGAAUGCUUCACAACAGGGGAAAAUACAUCAUUGUAGUCAAUUCCCUCCUUCUGAGCGUAGCCUUUAGCUACCAAUCUUGCCUUGUAGCGAAUAUCCUUCUUGGUAGGAGAUCCAUCUUUCUUUGCGAAUACCACUUGCAUCCGAUUGCCCUUUUACCUUUCGGUAAUUGCGCCAACUCCCAAGUAUUGUUCUUCCGGAGAGACUGCAUUUCUUCAUCCAUGGCGCUUUUCCAUUUAUCACUUUCUAAGCUUUGCAUUGCUUCUUGAGAAGUGAUAGGAAUAUCAUCAACAACGGGAAGGGCGUAGGCCACUAUAUCAGUAAAUCGAGCAGUUUUACGAAUUUCUCUCCGUGGCCUUGCAACUGCAACUGGUUCUGGUGUACUUAGUGGUUCUUGGGUCAGAACCUCUUCAACCUCUAAUUCCUCCAUUGUGGCUGGAGAAUUAGACUUAUUAACUGGGCAAAUCCCCAUCUGCUCAAACUCCACCUGUUUUGGAGUACACUCCACCUGCUGUGGAGUAUUGCUCGUCUGAAUAUCUUUAUCUGCUACCUUUUUCAAUGUGGCAGAUUCAUCAAAGGUAACAUCUCUGCUACAGAUCAUUUUCUUUAUGCUUAAGCACCAAAGACGAAAUCCCUUCACUCCAGAAGUGAUUCCCAUAAAGAGAGCUUUCUUUGCCCUUGGAUCUAACUUUGACUUCUUCACAUGGUAAUAUGCAGUGGUUCCAAACACAUGUAAGGAAUCAUAAUCUGUAGCCGGUUUUCCAGACCAUACCUCCAUAGGAGUUUUUCUUUCUAAUGCAGAUGAUGGCAAAUGAUUAACAAGAUGGCCAGCGUAUGUCACAGCCUCAGCCCAAAAUUGCUUGCCCAACCCAGCAUUGGACAACAUACAUCGAACUUUCUCCAGCAAUGUUCGAUUCAUACGCUCUGCCAAUCCAUUCUGCUGUGGUGUAUCCCUAACUGUGAAGUGUCAAACAAUACCAUACUCUUGGCACACAUCGAAGAACGGAUCACUUUUAUAUUCCCCUCCAUUGUCCGUCCUAAGCCGCUUGAUUUUCUUGCCAGUCUGGUUUUCGAUCAUAGUUUUCCAUUUAAGAAAAACUCUAAGCACUUCAUCCUUAGUUCUCAUGGUAUACACCCAAACUCUUCUGGAAAAGUCAUCAACAAAAGUAACAAAGUAGUGUUUUCCUCCCAAUGAAGGUGUCUUGGAAGGCCUCCACACAUCUGAGUGAACAUAUUCCAAAAUAUCUUUUGUAUUAUGGAUAGCAGUACCGAAUUUCACUCUCUUUUUCUUUCCCAGAACACAAUGCUCGCAAAAUUUUAAUUUACAAGCCUUUGCACCUUUCAACAAUCCUUGCUUUGCCAGAAUUUGCAAGGAUUUUUCGCUGGCAUGUCCCAACUUCAUAUGCCACAACUGUAUUGAGUCCAAUUCUUUGUUGCCGAAAGCUACAGCGACUGCUCCAAUAACUGUACUACCUUGGUAGUAAUACAAGUUAUUUUUCCUGAUGCCCUUCAAUAUCACAAGUGCGCCAGAUGUCACUUUCAAAACCUCAUCUCUCAUAGUAACAACUGAACCAUUGGAUUCCAAGGCUCCCAAUGAGAUGAGAUUUUUCUUCAAACUAGGCACAUACCGAACAUCAGUCAGAACUCUGGUUGAUCCAUCUUUAUUCUUUAAUUGGAUUGAACCUAUCCCAACAGUUUUACAGGCAUUGUCAUUGCCCAUAUAAAUAACUCCUCCAUUUAGUUCUACUAAAUCAGAGAACCACUCCCGGUUAGGGGACAUAUGAUAGGUACAACCCGAAUCCAAUAUCCACUCAUCUGAAUGGAACGACGAUGAUGAUGCAACCAGUGAUAGUUCAGAGUCACUGGUAUCAUGCUUUGCAACACAAGCAUCUACAGCAGCUUUUCCCUUAUUCUUCAGCUUUGGACAAUUUUUCUUCCAGUGGCCUUUCUCAUGACAAAAAGCACAUUCAUCUUUCCCGAGUCUGGACUUUGACUUUGAUCUCCCCUUUUGAGUUUUCUUCCGAGUGUAUGAAUGACCUCAGACUACUAAAGCUUCUGUAUCUCUGAUUGAGUUUUUCUGUUUGUCAUUCUUUCUCUGUUCAUAACUGUAUAAGGCCGCACAGACUUCGCUCAGAGAUAUAUCACUCCUGCCAUGAAGUAGAGUAGUUUCUAGGAACUCAAACUCCUCAGGAAGUGACCCCAACAGCAUCAAAGCCAAAUCUUCAUCUUUGAAUGUCUCAUCCAUAUUCAGCAAAUCAGUGACUAACUGAUUAAAUUUGGUGAUGUGAUCAUUCAUUGUGGUACUUGGGACGUAUGUGAAGCGAAACAGUCUUUUCUUCAAGUGGACCUUAUUUUGACUGUUUUUCUUCAAAAAAUUUUCUUCAAGUGCCACCCACAACUUAUUUGCAGAAGUCUCCUUUGAAAAAGCAUACAUCUGCUCUCGAGAAAGGCAUGAUCGAAUUGUGCCAUAUGCCAACCGAUUGAUCGCCUUCCAAUCUUUCCCCUGUACAUCAUCUGGUUUCUCUUCAUCAAUGGCAAUGUCUAGACCCUGCUGAAAAAGGGCAUCUAGAACCUCACUUUGCCAUAUACCAAAAUGGCCCGUGCCAUCAAAGAUCUCCACGGCCAGUCUUGCAUUUGCAAUUGUCGGUCUUGUCCACAUGGACGAUGUUGAAGCUCCUACACCGACCGUUUUCUCCAUAAUCUUUCAAUAUACCUAAGGAAAUCUUUUCUGAUGUGGAAGAUCAGUUCAAACUGCAACCACAGAGCAUACUACGAUUAACCUUCGGCUCUUGAUACCACUUGUUGUUCCAAUAGGGUCGGAAGCGUGUAAAUUAUUGUACUAAAAAAUCACACAAAGUUCAAUUCCCAGGGAAGAGAGGUGGAUCACAUGGAUCUCUUAAAUACCAAGUUUUUCCUUAGACAGAAUAUCCCUUCUAUAGUAAUUUAAUAGCACAAUUAAAUACUACUAUUAUACCCUCAAAUAUUGAAAGAAAAAUAGGACAAGAAAGAACACAAGAGAUUUAACGAGGUUCGGUAAAUUAUACCUACGUCCUCGGGCACUAACACCAGAUGAUAACUUUACUAUCUCCAAAGUAUUACAAACAAAUAGAAUUCCUUAAGAAUUCUCAAAUGGGAGAAGAGAGAAAACUAAGAGAGAAAGAUUGGUUGGGAUGAAUUGAAAUGAGAAAUGAGAAGGCCUAUUUAUAGUUGAGGUUUAAGGAUCAAACAAUAAAUAGCCCAUUAUCUCAAGGACCAAAAAAAAAUUAUCCCAUGCCACUUUUUCAAAGUCAACUUUAGGGUGCUAAACUUGCACCACUUGGAUUGUUUUCCAUUAAAAUUGUCUGCCAUUAAUCAUAAUGUUAACAUCUCCCUGUGGGAUGACUAUGCCUCAGAUAUAUUUAGACCCUUACUCUCCAUUGUACGAUGAAAACCGCAAUUUGGAGCAUCAGCCGGACGUUUUGGUUAAUCUUAAUGACGGUAAAUCUUUUGUAAAACCAAAAAAAAAGGAUGAUUUUUAUGAAUUAGCAAAGAGGGAACAAAUAAAUAGUAAUCUCUAUGUGAUGUAUCAGCAAAUGGUACGGUCCGCCAAGACCGCUUCUUGUUUCCAUGGAGCGGCGUACCUUGGCGGUUGUGUAUCCGAAACCGAUAUCGGUUGUACUCCCGAACCGAGAGGUGGUACCAUUGAGAACGGUGCUCAUAUCGCCGUUCACAAGUUCGUUGGUGCCAAGAAUCCACCUUAUAACGAAGACAUGGGGAAUUUCUAUUCUGCUGGUAGAGACCCUUUGUUCUACGCUCAUCAUGGCAAUGUUGAUCGAAUGUGGAACAUUUGGAAGACAUUGCCAGGGAAGAAGCGACAUGAUUUCAACGAAAAUGUUUGGCUCAAUUCUUCGUUUCUUUUCUACGAUGAGAAUACAAAUAUGGUUCGUGUUAAAGUUCGCGAUUGCCUUGACUCUAAAACUUUGGGGUACGAUUACCAAAGUGUUGAUAUUCCAUGGCUUAGAAGCAAGCCAACACCUCGAAGGAGUUGUUCUGGUGUGGGGCGGGGUCAGGAUGUAGCAGCCAGACGAAAGAGUAAAAACCGCAGGGGUUUUCCUAUAGUUUUAGACAAGGUGGCCGUGCGCAUUGAGAUUCCAAGGCCAAAGAAAUCAAAGAAAAAAGAUGAUGAAGAAGUAUUGGUUCUUCAAAACAUACAGCUAGACAGAAAUGACUCAGUGCAAUUCGAUGUCUCCAUUAAUGACGACGAAGACGACGACAACCCUUGCAAACCAGAAGAUGCGGAGUUCGUGGGGAGCUUUUCGAAUUUACCGCACGGAGAUAAUUGCCACUCCGAGACGAUGCUUAGUACAAAUCUGUAUUUGCCAUUAUCAGAAGCGCUGAAGGAUUUGAAGAUUAAUCCAUUUGAAGAUAGCAUUGUGGUGACUUUGGUGCCUAAAGAAGGGGAAGUUUCGAUUGGUAACAUUAAGAUCGACUACGUUUGUUGAUUUGGGGGUGAAUAUUUUGCUUCAUCCUUUGUGUUCUCGCUAGAUCGGAUUGAUGGGGUUCAUUAAUUUGUUUCUUGCAUGUGUCUCUCUUUUUUUUAAUAAAAAUAUCAAGCUAAAUGAACAAAAGCAGCGGCAGCUUUAUCUUGCUCAAGAAGAUAAUCAACUCCUAAACGCGCCUGAUAUUUUCUGCCUAUCAUCAAUUCAAUCACGAGAUAUUUUAGUUAACAGAGUAACAACUUGAUUUCUUUAACUAUCCAAUACUUCUUGCACUGUAAUAUCUAUUUAAUUCGUCCAACCAAAACUAAAUUUGAUACCUCCAAAUAGCCAACUUGAAUAGCAUUGAAUGCUUCCAAGUAAUCUGUUUAAAUUAAGGCUUUGACAUAUCUUACAAGACUAACUCGUCUGAGAUACUCUAGAAUUCAAUAUUAAAGAUUGAACAAACAUCUAAAUUAUGAUUGAACCCGACAAUCCAAUCUUGCCAAAUUUUAUUAUUAAAUUUUACCAUUUACUUUUUGUAUUAUUUAUAAAUUUUAAGUAUAAUGGUUUAUUUGAUCUUUCAGCUUUAUAAAAAAAUAUCAUUUUAGUUCUUCAUUUAAUUUUGUCUCUUUUUAACCCUUAAAUUUAUGUUGUUUAUCAAAUUGUCCCAAAAUAAAUGAAAAAAUUAAUAUCUAUUAACUUUGUUGACACAUCCACGUGUAUGCCACAUCAACAUUUACUUAAUUCUUUUUACAAAAUUAAAAAGCAUUAAAAUUAUAAAAAAAUAUUAUAAAAUUAUAAGUUUUAUUUAAUAAUAAAAUUAUAAUAAAAUUCUAUAAAUUUUAGAAUUUUUAAAAAUUUUAAUCAAUUAUUGAUGUGACAUAUAUGUGGAAUGUCACAUAAACAAAAUUAUUAAGCGUUAAUUUUUCUAUUCAUUAUAAAGUGUUUUGACAAAAAAAACUAGUUUAAUAGUUAAAAGUGGCGAAGAUUAUAUGAAGGGUUAAAAUGACUUUUUUGUUUUCUAAAGUUGGAGGACUAAAUAAAUCAUUAUGCUUAAAUUUUAUCAUAUUUAUAAAUAAAAAUUUUAAUUUUACUAAAAUAUUUUAUUAAAUAUAUUUACUUUAUAAAAAAAUUGUCAUACAUUUAUAAGAAUUUCGAGUCAAUUAAAAUACUUUAAUUAAAUUAUUAUGUUUUCAUUAACCCAAAAAAGUUAUAUUACUUAUUUUUAAAUGAAUUUUUUUAAUUAUUUAUAUGAUAGGUAGCUUUAUAUUUUACAUGCAAUAUUUUAUAAAGAAUACAUUUAUAUAAUCUAAUCUAAUAUAUAUUAUAAUUAUAUGAAGGCUUGAUUCGCAAAUUGGUGCCUAAGUUAUGUUAUUUUUUUCAUUUUGGUAUCUAAACUCUUUUUUUUUUUUUGUUAUCAGUUAUCCUAAAGCUAUUUUUUUCCCCAAAUUGGUAUAUCUGCUAGUUAACCCAUUAAGUCUAUUUAAAAAAAAGUUCAACCCACAAAUUAGUAUAUUCUUUUUCCCAAAUUGGUACCUAAAUUUUUUUUUAUCAUAAGUGAUACCUAAACUAUUCUUCCAUCACCAUUUUACACCAAAAUAUUAUAUUCGUUAAAAAAAUUACAACCAAUUAUAGAUUGUCACUUCAUAUAAACUUUUAAUUGUUUUAACUUUUUCUAUUUAUUUUACAUUAUUUCUCUCUUUAUAUAUUUUAUUUAUUUAUUUUUCUUCCUUUAUAAUGCCUAGUAAUACCAACAAUACUUAAAAUUGAUUCGCUCAAGGUUGAGAUGUCGGUGAUUAAUUCUGUUUUGAAAUUUCACCAUGUUGAUUAAACCUUUAUAUGAAUUAUAUUUAAUUUGAGUUGGAAUCACAAUAAAUAAUUACAUAUAUUUAUGCAAGAAAUUAAGAAUUUUAUAUAGUUCAUGAAUAAUAUAUAAUUUUCUUAAUCCAACAUUCACCCUUGGGCAUUUCCAGCAUACUUCAACAUCUACACCAUAUCAUCAGUAGGCAGCCCAAUCACUAACUUCUGUCGACGAACAGCCUUACACUCCGUUGCAAACAAUCCCAUCCACUCCAAGGGGCCAUAAAUCAACCCCAACAAUCGCCCCACACCAUCCCCCAAGCCUUUCUUCACUCUGAAUACAAGACAUAAAAUAAAAAUGAAGAGACGACUCCUCCAUCUGCAAGGAAAGGAUGUUGCCCCCUUUCAACCGACCAUUCUCAAACCAUGGUUCAUGCCACCAACCAAGCUCACUUACCACCAAUAAUGGUUCUAAUCCAACAAAUAGAUCGCAUUUUGCAAAGGAAAAUGAUCUCUUCAGCAAUCCACUCUUUUCCAUUAAGUAUUAAUUCAUUCCUAGCUAGCCACAAUGACCAUAACAUAGCGCCACAAGCAAGAAGCCACUUCCUCUUAACAUUCGAUCUUCCAAACAUGCAGCAACGUACACAAAAUCACUGACAUUCCAAGGAAUCACCCACAUAACACCCCACCAUUGAAAAAACAGUCCCUAAGCUUUCCAAGAGGAAGAACGAAAGAAAAAAUUUAUCACAAUUCUCUUCAGCUUCAUUGCACCAAGAACAAUUAACACGACCAUUAACUGUUGGAAUACCUCGAUCCCUUAAAAAUGCAUUUUGAAGGUAUGCCAUUUUGGAAUAACAGCCAUAGGAAGCGUUGCACCUUUGUUGGAACGCAUAGCUUCCAAAUGAAAGAAAACCACACCUUUUGAUGCGCCAAAGAACCUCACAAUCAAGAGAAAACACAACUUUCUUCACAGUACAUUUCCCUUUGCUGUCCACCUCCCACAUUAACUGAUCUGCCUUGUUCUCAUUUAAAGAGACCCCUUUGAAAAUCUGCCACAACUCCAUUGCAGACACCCUCUCCUGUUCAAACAAAUCUCUUUUGAAAAAUCUUUCACCCUUGUGAAGAUCAUCCCAAGCCUCGUCCACCGUGAUAUUUUUCUUCAAAGCCAAGAAGAAAGUCUGGGGAAUCUGUCUUUCAAAGCACACAGUCCAAUCCAAUGAUCCAUCCAAAAUGAAACUGAUCUCCCACUGCCGACGCACCAUAUAAAGCUUCCUUCACCUAACAUUUUGUCCAUCCCUUCGUGUCUUCUAACUUCCACAACUCCUUUCCAAACCUUCGACAUUGUUGAGAAUUCACCACAUUGGGCCUCCAACGAUACUUGCCAAUACCAUAUUUUUCGUCCCUAUUAUUGAUGUGGUGAUUGUCAAUUUAAUUCUUACACAUUAAAAGUACAUAAAAAUAUUUUUUAAAAAUUAAAAAUUAAAAUUUUUUCUUAUUUUCAAUAAAAAAUCGUAAAAGGUUUACUAAAAAUUAUGAAAUGCAUUAUUUAAAAUUAAAAAUUAAAUUAAAAAUUCAAAAAAAAUAUAAAUUAUUUCAAAAAUUCAAAAAAAAAAGUAAUAAGAACUAGACUUAUCCAUAAAUUGGUUUCGGCAAAGGUUUUAUGUCUCGAGCCGAGACCAAACCAAAAUAGAAUUUAAGUAAUCAAAAUAUUUUUAAAUUUGAAUUUGAUUAUAAAAAUUAAUAUAAAAUAUAUGUUUAAUAUUUUAUUAUUUUAAACAAUAAAACAAGUUUUUUAGACGAGCUAAACCAGAAAAAAAGCUUAACUGCAACUUGACCUGACCAGGCCUAAUAAGAAGCUUCAAUCUUCUAUGGAUGACGACUCAACGGUUAGUAUUAUUGUGAAGGAUAUUAAGGCAAAAAGCAAUAGGUCCGAGAACUAACUUUUCGAUUUGUACCGUGUCGAUUUAACAACUCCGCACAUGUACGCUCGUCAGUAUAGGGUAGUCAUAUUCUUGUUCCAUGCACUAGAUGGAGGAAACCUCGGUGGGUGUCGAAAACGCUGCAGUAAUGGAUCGACGAUGGGUGGAUCCGCUCAAUUAGUGAUACUUGGUCUUGGUAGCGGAGAUACUAUCGACUCUUGAACUCCGAUUCUCUCUUUCUUGAUCGAUUAAAGUGAUUAUUUUCUGAAGAAUUGAAUAGAGACGUUUUCAGUUUGCUUGCUGGCAAUGGAAUUUAGUUGUGGAUUCAUCUGGUUUUAAUUUUGUUUCAAUCUUAAUAAAUACUUUUAAUUUUUUGUUUUGUUUUAAUGAAUUCUAUCAGGUUAUAUUACUAUUUUCAGUGGACGUAUCAAUAGUUGUAUAUUUAUUUAAUUUAUUUUUACUAGAAAUAAAAUUUCCAGCUUACUUUAAAAAAAAAAAAAAACCUUCAAACGUAGUGAGUUGGGUCCUGUUUAAUCUAUCUCCUCCUAAAAAUAAAAAUAAAAAAUUGCUCAAACUUGAGCCUGAAUGAGUGCUCAUCUCCAAGCGCCUCUUGUACGCUUCUUUGCUCUCUCCUUUGGAGAGUUUUUUCAUUAGGGCAUAGCCGUGCGCCUCUCGGCCCUAUUCUCGUGCUCUGCAAUAUCCUGCACAGUGGUCUUCACCACCUUGAUGUAAUAUGGUCUUUGACCUAUUUCUCUAAUUAUAUGGUUGAUGAUUUCCUGGAUUAAAAUAAAAAAGCCGAAAAAGUUCUAACAUAUUUAAGGCAUGGAAAAGGUAAGAAUUAAGGGCGUUGAUAGGAGACAAGAAGCAAGACAAAGGGGAAGGAGACGGAAACAGAUAAAUCAAGGUGGACUGAAAGUGGCAGGUAGCGAGCAGGUGGUACAAUAUGUUGAAAGUGUCGGUAGGCAGUAUACAUGUGGUAGUGGGGAAGCUAAUAUUGGUAAGGUGGUAUAAGGGAUUGGAUAUUUAUAAUAUCAAUUUAUAUUUUAUUAUUUAGGGUAAACUACACCAAAGAUCAUUAAAUUAUUAAUAUGUUUACAUUUUGGUCAUUUAACUUCAAAAAGUUACAAAAUAAAUCAUUAAAUCUUGAUUGAUCCUCCAUAUUCCAAGGGUUUAUUUGAUUCACUCCAAUCCAAUCUAAUUUUCAAAAGCUAAGAUUUAGUUUCCAUAGAUGGACCAAAAAAAUCUUCAAUUAAAUAGCACAUAACCAGGUCCAACUAUUUUCUUCGCUAAAUUACCAAAGCAAAUAAGGUAAUUAAGUAUUUAACCACUUCAAUGGCAAUCUGUAGUUGGCACUAUCGAGUGCCACUCAGCAAUUCUCAACACAUUUUGCCUCAACAAACAUAAUCAAAUAUAAUUUAGUAAUUAUUAUAAAUAACUACUAAUAACUCUUGGGUCUAGGUUUUAGGAUUUAGGGUCUUUUAAGUUUAGAGUUUAGGUUAUUAGUAUUUAUUUAUAAUUAAUUAUUAUUUAAUUAUGGUUUAAACAAAGCUACUCGGAUUUAUUUAUAUGUUUGUCACUAUUUUUUUAGGCAUAAUGAUUUUUUUGACCCUCCAACUUUAUAAAAAAAUUAUUUUAACCCUUCAUUUAAUUUUCUACCUCUUUUAGCCCUUAAACUUGCAUUGUUUGUCAAACCACCCUAAAUUGGAUGAAAAAGUUAACUUCUUUCAAUCCACAUAAAUGUCACGUUAGAAAUUAAUUAAUUUUUUAAAUAUAAAAAAGUAAAAAAAGUAAAAAAUUAUUAAAAAUACAAGAAAUAUUUUUUUAAUAUUUUAAUUUUUUAAAAAUCAAUUAAUUGCUUAUGUGAGAUACACGUGGACUUUCACAUGGAUGCCAUGUUAGCAAAGUUAACCGACAUUACUUUUUCCAUCUAUUUUGAGGUAAUUUGACAAAUAAUGCAAGUUCAAUGGCUAAAAGAGAUGAAAAAUUAAAUUGAGGAAUAAAAUGACUUUUUUUUUAUAAAGUUGAGGCCAAAUAAAUCAUUAUGCCUUUGUUUCAUUCAAUAACGAGGUUUGAUGUUGUAUUAUUAUUCACUCAAUAUUCUUGAUGAUCAGUCAUAUUUAAUUAUAAGAAACACUUAAUAUUAAUUAUAUGAAAAAUGUAUAUUAUUUUUAAAUUAAAAAUAAACACACGUGUAAAAUAUGUAAUUAGUAAAACAUGAAGUCAAUUUGCAUGUACAUCAAACUAUGCAUCAAUUCUCAAGUUCAGGUACAAUUUCUCCUUUGGUAGAGUCAAUAAUAUCCUUUCACACUAUCUUAUUUUGAUGCCACUAAACUUAAAUCUAACUUAAAAUAAUGUUAAAAAUUUCAUUUAUAGAAAACCAACAUAAGUGAGAAUUGAUUGAUUUGAUAAAAAAUAAAUAUAAUAUUAAAUUUAAAUAAAUAUUAAAAAUAAUUAAAAAAUAAUAAAAUUAUUCAUUUAAUUCGAUUGUGUAAUCUUUAACUUGUAACACAUACAAAUGUGCAUGAUAAAGUAUAUAGGGAUGGUAAUUAAGUUAGGCGGGGUGGAUAUUGUCAAUUCCAUCACCGCUCUACAGUUGGUAUGCUUAGUCCUAAUAUCUGCCAUGCUCCAUCAUGGGUGUAUGAUCUUGAACACUACCAUUACUAGCUCCAUAGAUAUUGGAUAUAUCUAUCUUCUCCCCGCUUCACUUAAUUUAAUUUUUUUAUUUAAAUAAUUUUAAUCUUUUAAAUAUAAUUUUUUGAAAAAAUAUAAUAUUUUAUUUUGUAAUAUUUUAAUUAUUGAAAUAAUUAAUAUUUUUAAUUAUAUUAAAUGAUUUGGAUGAUAUUAUUUUACAUCAAUUAUAUCAAAUAAAAAUAUAUUUUUAAUAAAUAAAAAGAAACACAAAAAAAUCAUUGGGGGCUAAAGUAUAAUUUUAUCUUUGUAUAUGCCUGUUAAUUUAGAAUUUUGAAGGGAUUAAAUUGGAAAAAUUUCAUCUUAGAGUGCCAAAGUGUAUUUUUACAAUUAAACUAACUUAUGAUUUUAAAAACUUCAAGGGACUAAAAUAAUAAUUAGCUUAGGGGUGAAGCCAGGAAAUUUCAUUUUUUGGGGAGGGGGUGGAAUUAAAUUGUUUAUUUUAACGAUAGUGAAAAUACAAUUUCACCAAUUUAAUAGCAUAUAUGUUUAUUGUAAUACCCAAUUUUAGCUCGGACUCACAAAAAAAUAAUAAACCCAAAAUAAUAAAACAAAGUCUAAGUCCAGUACAAAAUUAUAUCAUUUGGCCCGAUCGGAAUGGCCCAUUACUUGAAAAUGUUAAAGGUCCAUCUACAAGCUUAUGGAAACAUAAUCUUUAAGGAUAUGCAAUCUUAGAUAUGAUAUAUGCAAUCUUAGAUAUGAUAUGCAAUCUUAGAAGAUAUGAUUUUGUAAUCUUAGAGAUUUAAUUUGUAGAUACCAUUUAAUCUUAGCCGUUGAUGUAAUUGAUCUGUACCGUUGGAUUUGGGGAGGCUCAACUAUAAAUAGAGGCCUCUCCCUUCAUUGUAAAAGGGGGGAGUGGGAGUAAUAAUAAUUCUUAAAAGUAUUCACUUAAAUUUCUCUUUCUCUUGCGUUCUUAUUUUCUGUGGCUUGUUCUUAUUUUGUUGAUUUGUGUAUAAUUUAUCUAUUGAUUUGUAUAUUGUUCAUUUCAAAUCUUUUUUUUCCCUUUUUAUUCAUUUUCAAAUUCAUUAUUUUCAAAUUUGUUUACAUUUUAUUUUGCCUUAUAUUUUUUAUUUUAUACUCUUUGUUUUAAAUUCAUUGGUCUUUUAUUAUUGAUGCUAUUUAAUCCUCUAUUUAUUAUUAUUUUUUAUUAAAUUAAUUAUUUUAAUAUUAUUAAUACUAUUAUGUGGCAUCAUUAAUCUUGUAUCAUUAUUAUUUACUUUUUUAUGCCUUUAAAUUUCAAAAUUUGUUAUAUAUAUGCCUGUAUACAUACAUACGUUUUAUAAUAUAUACAUAUACGUACACAUUUUUUAAUUUUUUAUAAAUAUAUAUACACAUACUUUUAUAUAUUUUCUAUGUUUCAUAAUUUUAUAUACAUACUUAUAUUUUUUUACAUAUUAAAAUAUGUAUAUUUAUAUAUAUUUAUUUUUUUAUAAUUCACAACCAUAUAUAUUUUUCUUAAAUGUACAUAUAUAUAUAUAUAUUUAUAUUUUAUAAUUUUUAUCUAUUUUCUUUAUUAUUAUUAUUGCUUUACUUGAUGUUUAUUUAUUUCUUUAUUCACAUGACCAUUAUUAUAUUCUUUAAAUGUUUCGGUUUUAUUUGUUUAUUUACUUGAUAUUGUGUAUACAUGAUUGAUUUGUUUUUUUAUUUAUCUUUUCAUUAUUAUUAUUAUUAUUAUUAUUGUUCUUGAUCAUGCUAUUUAUAUUUAUAUUAUUACAAUUGUUAGUACUCCAUUAUAUAAUUGUACCCAAAUUUGUAUAAAGAGAAAAUUUUGAAAAAUAAAGGCAAUACUCGAUAUUUGGAAUCUUCGAGAAGAUUGAGCCCUAACGUAUUGGGUUCCAAAUCUUUCGUUGAAUCUGAAUAAUCGAGAAUGCUCUUUAAUCAAAACAUAAAUAAAAAGCUCAUUAUCGAGAAUUCAAUACGUUGUGUCCUAACGCAUUGGAUAUGACAUGUUGUUUUCUCGAGAUGAGGAUUUUUUUUUCUAAAAAUAAUAAAGGUAAUAUUCAAUGUUUAGAAUUUUGAGAAAUUGUGCCCUAACGUAUUGGGCUGCGAUUUCUUCAUCUGACUUAAACAAUUGAAUAUCCUUUUAAAUUUUAUUGCACGAGUUUUUUUUGGACAAGCUUGUUUUUGAGGAAGUGAAAUAUCAUGCCCUAACUCAUUGGGUGUGACAUUUUCUCUUUUCGAAAUGAGAGGGUUUUAUCGAGUAACUUGUUUUAUAUAAGUUAAAAAAAAAACAAAAGAUCGUAUUUUAAAUCUCUUCAAAGUUUUCAAUUUUCGACAUUAAGACAUUAAUUAAUUAACUAGGUACCAAUUUUUGGGCGUUACGAGGGUGCUAAUCCUUCCUCGUACGUAACCGACUCCCGAACCCGUUUUUCUGAAUUUCGUAGACCAAAAUCGUUGUUUUAAUAAAGUCAAAUUGCUUAUUAAAAAUAACCACUUUUUGAGGUGACCCGAUCACACUUAAAUAAAAAGGAUUAGUGGCGACUCCCAUUUUCUUUUUUUUUCUUUUCAAAAUCCAAGCCAACCCCAUUUUUCAAAAUAAAAAAUGGUUUCGACAUUUAUAAUUUUUAAAGGAUUAAAUCAAAAUUUUAUCAUUUUUGGUUGACCAAAGUACAAUUUUACCAUUAGUAAUUUAAAAUUUUAUAAAUUGUAAAGAGCUUAAAUAGAAAAUUGUCCACUUUGGGGGGCUAUUGGGGGUGUCAUCCCUAUAUAAACAUAGGGAUGAAGUCAGAAGUUUAUUUUUGGGUCAAAAUUCAAUUAUAAAAUUUUAAAAGGAUGAAAGUAUAAUUUUAUUUUUGUAUAUACUUAUUAAUUUAGAAUUUCAAAAGGACUAAGGUGGGACAUUUUUAUCUCUAGAGGGUCAAAAUGUAUUUUAUCAUUAACUUAUAAUUUUAAAAGAGCUUCAAGAAAAUCUAAAAUAAUAAUAAUUUUCCGUGCGGCCCGUCCCUGUAUAGACAGGGUGUAUAUAUAUACCGACGAUUUCAAACGUUUUUCACGUUUUGUCACCUUUCCAAGAAUGAUCCACGUGAAAAUUUGUUGCAUGAAAUCAUGUGAAUCCGUCUGCAACCAUAAAAUUUUACGAUUAUUUGCACUAAAAAAACCAAAUAAAAAUUGUGGAUAAAACACCACGUUAUCCAGAAUACUGAUUUGUUCAACGUUUUCUUUUUCCUUCCUUUUGCACAUGAAUAAUGACAAAGGAUCCAACCCCAUCGAUUUUCGCUACAAAUUCCAUGCUUUCUUAGUUUAAUCAUCAUCACACAAUCAAGUCAAGCUAUUUAGCUAUGGCUUCCACUGCCAAUUUCCCAUCAACUUUCAUCACUCUUCCCAAUUUCUCCAAAACAUGUCGAGGUUCCAUAUUUAGGAAGAAAAAGCUUUUCAACUUUGUUUCCAAGAAAGUAGUGUCGUGCAAAGCCAACAAUGCAGACUCCUCUCUCAAUAGGUUCGAUAGGAGGGAUAUCCUUCUAGGCCUUGGAGGAAGUUUUUAUGGUGCAACCAACCUUCUUGGUGGUGACCCAUUUGCAUUGGCAGCCCCAAUAGCCGCCCCUGACCUGUCUCAAUGUGCGGAAGCAACGGUUCAAAAGACGGGUCUUCCCACCAUGGGUGUCGCCUGCUGCCCACCAGUAUCAACAACUAUCAUAGAUUUCAAACCACCUUCCGUUCGUAAAAUACGGUAUAGGCCUGCAGCACAUUUAGUUUUUUCGAAUCGAGUUGAGUGAGAUGGAAUUCGAAUCGAAUCGAAUCGAAUCGAAUAUAUUUGUUCGAGUUAAAUUUUAAAAAAUAAUUUUGGGUCCUUGUAACCACUGUCACCCAUCCUAAUAAAAUUUGUCCACCUUAAUCAAAUUUUUUAUUAACUUUCAUCACCUCAUAAUUUAUUUAUUAAUUUUUUAUAUAUUAGUUAGCUUCUCUGCUUGCUUAGUUGUUUCAAUUAUCUUCAAAUUCUUGUCACGAUGUAUUUUGGAAUUAAAAAAAUAUAUUGAAUGUAAAAAUAUAAUUUUUUUUAAUAAAAGUUAUUUUAAAAAUAAAAUUUGAAAUUGAUACCAAUAUAAAAUUUUAAUACGAAUAUUUUAUGGCAUAAUUAAUAAUUCAAUUUUAAUAUAAAUAUUCAAUAUGACUAAACAAUUCAAUAAUAUAAAUAAUAUAAAAUGUGAAAUUUAAUUAUUAAUAUAAAUAGUAGAUAUAAAUAAAAAUUAUUACUAUUUAUGUUUAGUGAUUUUUUUUUGGAUAAUUUGAUUUUUUUAUUUGAGAGUAAAGGGUGAGAAGUAAAAGUGUAGGGGAAAAUAAAAGUUUGGGGAAUAAAAGUUUGAGGGAAAGUAAAUAGGGGGAGUAAAAUUUAGGAGGGAAAUAUUAAAAAAAAUUGGAGAGGGAGGGUUUGGGGUAGAUGGGAGGUGGGAUGGGAAGGGAAUAAAGUUUUAGGGAACCCGUGCGAGGUUGAGGUAACAAUUUUGGGGAAAAUACAAGGUUUGAGGGUUUUGGGGAGUACAAUUUGAGACCAUUAAUGGGCGCGUAAACCUUUUGGUGGGACACGGCUUUUGGGUCGCUUGCGAGGGUUGGGCGGGCGGCGCGUCCAGUUUUGGGGGGCACGUGGGAAGGCGUCACAGUUUUGCGGCCACGUCCCCACACGUUUGGGCGUUUGGGGUACACUGUACCCUUUCUCAUUUGAUCUUCGCCUUUUUGCGUUAUUCGAAUUCCACCCACUCAACUCGUUCGACACUCGAAUUUGCACACACCCCUUCGGUUGACUUUGAAUACUCGAUUAACUCGCCUACUCGAUUCGUUUAACUCGCAAUUCGACUUCUUUUGCUUUUUUCGAGUCGAAUCGAGUUUGUCUCACCCUACCUGGGACAAAGCUUCUAGAAAAAGGAUUAAAAUGUGAAGUACAGAUGAGGAGUGCAUGCUCGCUUAAAAUAAGAAGGGUGAAUUAAUUGUCCAAGUUGAUAUGACGCCGAACCGUUUGUUUACUCAUUGACAUUGAAUCUGGAGAGUGAAAUGUAUGAAGAACGCAAUUAAAAAAGGUAUCAUGGUUAAUGGCAUUUAAGGUUCGGGAAUCUUGGAUUUUCUGGUCCGAAGCUAUUGUUAAAAGAAAAUAUGGUUAACGGGCUGCAGAACUUAAUCCUCCUGAUCAACUGUGUGAAGCCUGCAUUAAAGGAAAACAACACAGACAGAGUUUUGAAGUCGAAAAAAUUCGACGAGCUAGGAGACUAUUGGAGAUCGUGCACUCUGACAUAGCAGGCCCUUUUAAUAUACCAUCACUUGGUGGAAACAGGUACUAUGUUACUUUUAUUGAUGAUUUUAGCGGAAAAAGUUGGAUAUAUCUUCUUAAAACAAAAUCAAAAGCAUUUGACAAGUUUAUCAAGUUCAAAGCCCUGGUAGAAAAACAAAGUGGACAUUUCAUUAAGAUACUCAGAACUGAUAGAGGUGAUUAGUAUACUUCAAAGCUAAUUGAAAGCUUCUGCAAGGAGCACGAAAUUAUUCACCAGUUGACAACUACGUACACGCCACAACAAAAUGGAGUCACUGAAAGAAAGAACUGCAUUAUUCUUGAUAUGGCAAGAAGCAUGGUUAAAUGUAAGCAUUUACCAAGAACUUUCUAGGCUGAUGCUGUUCAAUGUGCUGUUUAUUUGUUGAAACAGCGUCCAACAAAAAGUGCGAAAUACAAGACGCCAAACGAAGCUUGGAGCAAUCAGAAGCCAAGAAUCGAACAUUUUAAGAUUUUUGGAUGCAUCGUAUAUGCUUAUGUUACUGACCAGAUGAGAAAGAAGGUUGACACUAAAUGAGUAAAAUGUAUUUUCAUUGGUUAUGAAAAGAGAAGCGAGACAAAUAGGUUAUACAACACUCUCACUAAGAAAGUUAUUAUUUCAAGAGAUGUUGAAUUCGAUGAAGCUGAUUACUAGAGAUGGAGCGAAAAAGAGAGGAAAAUUGAAAGAUUAAUUUUCAGUGAUCACAAAGACGGCGACUUUAUUAAUCAAGAACAAGGAAACGAUCAAAGCCCUCCUCCAAGUCCUGUUGCAACAACUCUUACAACAUCAUCAUCACCAACCAGCAGCAGUACCAGCAACUUAGAGGAAGCACCUGCAAGAAUGCAUAGUUUACGCGAUAUUUAUGAUGUUACAGAACCCAUAGAAACAACACUCGAUUAUUCAUUAUUCUAUAUAAUGACAGAAUAUGAUCCAAUAACAUAUAAAGAUGCAAUUGAAGAUGUUAGAUGGAAAAAGGCAAUGGAUGAAGAAAUUACAGCGAUAAGAAGAAAUGACAUAUGGGAGCUAACAAGUCUACUAGAAGGACAUAGUCCAAUUGGAAUCAAAUGGGUGUACAAGACGAAGACCAACAAAGAAGGAAAAAUGGAGAAAUACAAAGCAAGACUAGUUGCAAAAGGCUACAAGCAAAGAUACGGUGUGGAAUAUGAUGAAGUAAUUACUUCGGUCGCCAGAAUUGAUACUAUAAGACUUCUCAUGGCAAUUGCAGCAUAAAAUAAAUGGAAAAUUUAAUCAGAUGAACGUGAAGUCAGCAUUCCUUAAUGACUACCUGGAAGAAGAAGUCUACAUUGAACAACCACCUGGAUAUAGCAAACAAGGACAAGAAGACAAAGUUUAUCACUUGAAGAAAUCUUUAUAUAGACUGAAGCAAGCCCUGAGAGCAUAGAACACAAGAAUAGAUGAAUACUUUUAGAAGAACGGGUUCAUGAAAAGCCCAUACGAGCAUGCUCUAUAUACGAAGAAAAAUAAAGUUGGUGACAUCAUGAUCGUGUGCUUAUAUGUGGAUGAUAUGAUUUUCAUAGGAAACAAUCCAGGUAUAUUCAAUGACUUUAAGAAAGUUAUGACUAAAGAUUUUGAAGUGACAGGUGAAAUGUCAUACUUUCUUGGAGUCGAAGUGAACCAAAUGAAAGAUGGAACAUUUGUGUCUCAAAAAAAGUAUGCGGAACAUAUUUUAAGAAAAUUCAGAAUGAAAGAUUGCAAGCCAGUAGCCACGCCCGUAGAACCAGGCAUGAAAUUAAGUGUUGGUUCAUCCAGAGAGUCAGUAAAUCCAACAUUGUUUAAAAGUAUCAUUGGAAGUUUAAGGUACUUGACUAUCACACGGCCAUACAUCAUGUACGUAGUGGGAAUAGUUAGCAAAUACAUGGAGAAGCCAAAACAAGAUCACCUGAUUGCAGCAAAGAAAAUUUUGAGACACAUCACAGGUAUGAUGGAUCAUGGUUUAUUUUAUACACACUCACAAAGUUCAAAAUUGGUUGGUUAUUUAGAUAGUGAUUAUGGUGGUGACUUGGAUGAUCGCAAAAACACAUCCAGAUAUUUAUUCCAUAUUGGCUCCGCGGCAUUUUCAUGGUCAUCGAAAAAGUAACAAACAGUAGCCAUCUCAACAUGUGAGGCAAAAUUCAUGGAUGUUGCAACAUGCACGUCUCAAGCAAUUUGGUUAAAGAAUAUUUUAGGUGAAUUAACUAUUAUACAAGAAGGUCUAAUUACAAUUUAUGUUGACAACAAGUCCAUAAUAUCUCUUGUAAAGAAUUCAGUGUGUCAUAGUCGAAGCAAGCAUAUCGAUACAAAGUAUCAUUUUAUUCGAGAGCAAGUGAAAAAUAAAAAUGUAGAGUUAGCUUACUCCAAAUUAGAAGAUUAAUUGGCGAAUAUUUUUACGAAACCAUUGAAAGCGGACAUAUUCUAUAAACUCAAAGAAAAGCUUGGAAUGAAAAGUUCAAGGGGAAGUGUUAAAAAACAAACCGACUUUCAAAGUCGGCAUAAAAAUUGCAGCCAAAGAAUUUCUAUCCAAAAUGGCUUGAAAUUGAAUUGCAAAAGUGGCUGCCACUUUGUAAAUUGGCCAGCACAAAUGAUAAAGGAUAAUGAUGACAGCAGCUUGAAUAGUCUUAGACGGCAAGGCUUGAUAAAGUUUAAGUCGGUUUACUAUGCUUAUAAAUAUGUAAGUAGAGUCUUAUGAAAUUAAAAUUAAAUGAGUGUGUGUGAAAACGUUAGUGAGCUUGAGAGGAAAAAAAAGAAAGAAAGGUGUUGUGAUUUGUAUAAAAAGGAAAAACUAGCAGCAGCUAGUAUAGAGAGAAAAAAGAGUUUAUAUUUGUAUUGUGUUUAUUUGUGUGUAAUAAAAAAUUAGUAUUUGAGUUAUGUUUAUUACCGUUCCAACAUAUUAUAUGUUCUAGUGUUGAUGGCAUUGGCAACUGAUGUUGUGUCCAAGAAGCUUGACGUCGUGCUCAUGACAUUGGCUGCUGUUUGUAGGCUCUAAUAUAAUGUUUCAAUGGAAAUGCCCCUAGUCCUGUAAUCAACAGAUGGUGCUAUACCCCUUAGAGUACUAUGGGGUCCAAUUUGUUCUUUACUUUUAUCAAUCAGACCACCACUGUGGCAGGAAUCAGAAACGAUUGUGAAGCUUAAUUAAUCUACUUGGUACUUGCUGAAUCAAGUGCCCCAAGUCGACGUCUGCGCAACCAUCGCAACCACCAUAUGAUAUGAAAAAUAGUUCGCUUCGAUUGAGGGUGUUUCAAUACUUUGAUAUAUUUGACCUCUAAUAAGAAAUCAACAUAUGGAGUGGGUGAUUAAUCCGAAUUGGGAGAAGGACAGGUGUUGUGAUGGACAAAGAGGAAGACAAGGUGGUUUCCAACAGAAGCAAGAAAGCUCUAGCAAAAGGCAGCUAGGUAUUCCUUUUCAGACGAAGAAGAUAAAAAUAUAGAACAUAUAGGGUGGUGGUCGAAGAUAAAUGAUUAUAACAACACUGAUAUGAUCUGCUUCGCCUUCGUCCAUCACCUCAUCUUUAUGUUUUUAUCUUGGUCGUGACUCACGUUGGCCUUCGUCUGCAAGUGCUGUCGGUCCUACAAUCGUGAUUCUGUUGCCUAGCCUUUGAUUUCUAUAGUUUUU